Molecule: ribosomal RNA, 469 nt
Filed under: uncultured bacterium
Lineage: Bacteria
Description: bacterial SSU rRNA
Rfam family: Bacterial small subunit ribosomal RNA
Source: RNAcentral
GAUGAACGCUGGCGGCGUGCUUAACACAUGCAAGUCGAACGAAGCACUUUAUUUGAUUUCCUUCGGGAUUGAUUAUUUUGUGACUGAGUGGCGGACGGGUGAGUAACGCGUGGGUAACCUGCCUUGUACAGGGGGAUAACAGUUGGAAACGGCUGCUAAUACCGCAUAAGCGCACAGCAUCGCAUGAUGCAGUGUGAAAAACUCCGGUGGUAUAAGAUGGACCCGCGUUGGAUUAGCUAGUUGGUGAGGUAACGGCCCACCAAGGCGACGAUCCAUAGCCGACCUGAGAGGGUGACCGGCCACAUUGGGACUGAGACACGGCCCAAACUCCUACGGGAGGCAGCAGUGGGGAAUAUUGCACAAUGGGCGAAAGCCUGAUGCAGCGACGCCGCGUGAGCGAAGAAGUAUUUCGGUAUGUAAAGCUCUAUCAGCAGGGAAGAUAAUGACGGUACCUGACUAAGAAGCACCG